AACGCUGGCGGCAUGCCUAACACAUGCAAGUCGAACGGGAUCCUAGCUUGCUAGGUGAGAGUGGCGGACGGGUGAGUAACACGUGGGAAUCUGCCUUUUGGUUCGGGAUAACCGCGGGAAACUGCGGCUAAUACCGAAUGCCCUCGAGAGAGGAAAGAUUUAUCGCCAGAAGAGGAGCCCGCGUCCGAUUAGGUAGUUGGUGGGGUAAAGGCCUACCAAGCCGACGAUCGGUAGCUGGUCUGAGAGGAUGAUCAGCCACACUGGGACUGAGAUACGGCCCAGACUCCUACGGGAGGCAGCAGUGGGGAAUAUUGGACAAUGGGGGCAACCCUGAUCCAGCAAUGCCGCGUGAGUGAUGAAGGCCUUAGGGUUGUAAAGCUCUUUUGUCCAGGGAAGAUGAUGACUGUACCUGGAGAAUAAGCCCCGGCUAACUUCGUG
Molecule: ribosomal RNA, 438 nt
Filed under: uncultured bacterium
Lineage: Bacteria
Description: bacterial SSU rRNA
Rfam family: Bacterial small subunit ribosomal RNA
Source: RNAcentral